Molecule: long non-coding RNA, 137 nt
Organism: Melitaea cinxia (Glanville fritillary)
Lineage: Eukaryota; Metazoa; Arthropoda; Insecta; Lepidoptera; Nymphalidae
Exons: 3
Source: RefSeq, a predicted model, not a curated record
UUUAUAUUACUUACAUUCAUAUAGAAUUAAAAAAGUAGGGGAGAGAGGGGCUUGUUGUAACAUUUUUCAUGAAAACUAAUAUAUCUUGAAAUCUAUUGAUUAUAUUGCUACUAAAUAAAGAUGGAUGGAUGCUGUAA